Molecule: ribosomal RNA, 253 nt
Filed under: uncultured bacterium
Lineage: Bacteria
Description: partial 16S ribosomal RNA
Rfam family: Bacterial small subunit ribosomal RNA
Source: RNAcentral
UACGGAGGGGGCUAGCGUUGUUCGGAAUUACUGGGCGUAAAGCGCGCGUAGGCGGGCUGUUAAGUCGGGGGUGAAAUCCCCGGGCUCAACCCCGGAACUGCCUUCGAUACUGGCGGGCUAGAGGAAGGCAGAGGCUAGUGGAAUGGAGAGUGUAGAGGUGACAUUCGUAGAUAUUCGCCGGAACACCAGUGGCGAAGUCGACUGGCUGGGCCUUUUCUGACGCUGAGGUGCGAAAGCGUGUGGCGCAAGCAGG